UUGCACAAUGGGCGCAAGCCUGAUGCAGCCAUGCCGCGUGUGUGAAGAAGGCCUUCGGGUUGUAAAGCACUUUCAGUUGUGAGGAAGGUGGUGUCGUUAAUAGCGGCAUCAUUUGACGUUAGCAACAGAAGAAGCACCGGCUAACUCCGUGCCAGCAGCCGCGGUAAUACGGAGGGUGCGAGCGUUAAUCGGAAUUACUGGGCGUAAAGCGCAUGCAGGUGGUUUGUUAAGUCAGAUGUGAAAGCCCGGGGCUCAACCUCGGAACUGCAUUUGAAACUGGCAGACUAGAGUACUGUAGAGGGGGUAGAAUUUCAGGUGUAGCGGUGAAAUGCGUAGAGAUCUGAAGGAAUACCCGGUGGCGAAGGCGGCCCCCUGGACAGAUACUGACACUCAGAUGCCGAAAGCGUGGGGAGCAAACAGGAUUAGAUACCCUGGUAG
Molecule: ribosomal RNA, 438 nt
Filed under: uncultured bacterium
Lineage: Bacteria
Description: bacterial SSU rRNA
Rfam family: Bacterial small subunit ribosomal RNA
Source: RNAcentral